This 468-nucleotide ribosomal RNA is filed under the name uncultured bacterium. Its description in RNAcentral is "partial 16S ribosomal RNA". It matches the Rfam family "Bacterial small subunit ribosomal RNA", at positions 28 to 507 of the family's 1533-position model. The record is from RNAcentral.
GACGAACGCUGGCGGCGUGCUUAACACAUGCAAGUCGAACGGAAAGGCCCUGCUUUUGUGGGGUUCUCGAGUGGCGAACGGGUGAGUAACACGUGAGUAACCUGCCCUUGACUUUGGGAUAACUUCAGGAAACUGGGGCUAAUACCGGAUAGGAGCUCCUGCUGCAUGGUGGGGGUUGGAAAGUUUCGGCGGUUGGGGAUGGACUCGCGGCUUAUCAGCUUGUUGGUGGGGUAGUGGCUUACCAAGGCUUUGACGGGUAGCCGGCCUGAGAGGGUGACCGGCAACAUUGGGACUGAGAUACGGACCAGACUCCUACGGGAGGCAGCAGGGGGGAAUAUUGCAAAAUGGGCGGAAGCCUGAUGCAGCAACGCCGCGUGCGGGAUGACGGCCUUCGGGUUGUAAACCGCUUUCGACUGUGACGAAGCGUGAGUGACGGUAAUGGGUAAAGAAGCACCGGCUAACUACGUG